RNAcentral lists this long non-coding RNA (419 nucleotides) under Elaeis guineensis (African oil palm). RNAcentral's name for it is "long non-coding RNA (EGUI_LNC059687)". Lineage: Eukaryota; Viridiplantae; Streptophyta; Magnoliopsida; Arecales; Arecaceae. The record is from RNAcentral.
GAUGUUGGGUUCGGGGCGUGACAGAAUGGUAUCAGAGCUUAGGUUAUGAUAAUUUGGAGAUUAUGAUAUAAGUGAUUAGGAAGUGACAGAAUGGUAUCAGAGCUUAGGUUAAGAUCAUUGGAGAUUAUGAUAUACGUGAUAGGAUAUGACAGAAUAAUAUCAGAGCUUAGAUAAUGAUCAUGUGUGAUUUAUGAUUAGGAUAUGACAAAGUGGUAUCAGAGCUUAGGUUUAAGAUCACCAGAGAUUAUGAAGAGAUAUUAAAACUUUAUGUAAGAUCAAUAGGAUGUGACAAAGUAGUAUCAGAGCUCAGGUUAUGAUCAUUAAGGAUUAUAAUAUAAGUGAUUUAAAUAUUACAGAGUAAUAACAGAGUUUAGGUUAUGAUCAUUGGGGAUUAUGAUAUAAGUGAUUAGGAUUUGAUA